CCUACGGGAGGCAGCAGUGGGGAAUAUUGCACAAUGGAGGAAACCCUGAUGCAGCGACGCCGCGUGCAGGAAGACGGCUCUAUGAGUUGUAAACUGCUUUUGUACGAGGGUAAACGCAGAUACGCGUGUCUGUCUGAAAGUAUUUUACGAAUAAGGAUCGGCUAACUCCGUGCCAGCAGCCGCGGUAAUACGGAGGAUUCAAGCGUUAUCCGGAUUUAUUGGGUUUAAAGGGUGCGUAGGUGGUCGGAUAAGUUAGAGGUGAAAGCGUGAGGCUCAACUUUGGAAUUGCAUCUGAUACUGGUCGUCUAGAGAGUAGUUGCGGUAGGCGGAAUGUAUGGUGUAGCGGUGAAAUGCUUAGAGAUCACACAGAACCCCGAUUGCGAAGGCAGCUUACCAAGCUACUUCUGACGUUGAGGCACGAAAGCGUGGGGAGCAAACAGGAUUAGAUACCCGAGUAGUC
This 460-nucleotide ribosomal RNA is filed under the name uncultured bacterium. RNAcentral describes it as "partial 16S ribosomal RNA". It matches the Rfam family "Bacterial small subunit ribosomal RNA", at positions 338 to 795 of the family's 1533-position model. The record is from RNAcentral.